Molecule: ribosomal RNA, 468 nt
Filed under: uncultured bacterium
Lineage: Bacteria
Description: partial 16S ribosomal RNA
Rfam family: Bacterial small subunit ribosomal RNA
Source: RNAcentral
GACGAACGCUGGCGGCGUGCUUAACACAUGCAAGUCGAACGGAAAGGCCCAGCUUUUGUGGGGUGCUCGAGUGGCGAACGGGUGAGUAACACGUGAGUAACCUGCCCUUGACUUUGGGAUAACUUCAGGAAACUGGGGCUAAUACCGGAUAGGAGUUCCUGCUGCAUGGUGGGGGUUGGAAAGUUUCGGCGGUUGGGGAUGGACUCGCGGCUUAUCAGCUUGUUGGUGGGGUAGUGGCUUACCAAGGCUUUGACGGGUAGCCGGCCUGAGAGGGUGACCGGCCACAUUGGGACUGAGAUACGGCCCAGACUCCUACGGGAGGCAGCAGUGGGGAAUAUUGCACAAUGGGCGGAAGCCUGAUGCAGCAACGCCGCGUGCGGGAUGACGGCCUUCGGGUUGUAAACCGCUUUCGCCUGUGACGAAGCGUGAGUGACGGUAAUGGGUAAAGAAGCACCGGCUAACUACGUG